CAGAUGAGUGCAGAGCUGGACUCUGGGCUCAAUCUCAUGACCCUGAGAUCAUGACCUGAGCUGAAAUCAAGAAUCGGGAGGUUUAACCGACUGAGCCACCCAGGUGCCCCACAACUAUUCUUAUAUAAGAAGCAUACACAAUACACUUACAGUUCUUUUAUGGAAUUUUGAAUCAUAGGUCUCAGAUCUGUGAGAAAUCCCAAGAAAUCAUCUAAUCCAGCUUUCUCCCUUUAAGGAAUUGUGUUUUUUUUUUAAUAGAUAAAGCAAACAUAGCAAAAGUUUGAGAUUUAUACAAGUUUCAUCUUAAUGAUUAGAUGUGUCUGAGAGGUCUAUACCUGACGAAAGAUAUGGGUAACAAAAGGCAGGGAGCAACGCUUCACAGCCCUACACAUGACCACGCAUCAGACCCUGUUACCAAUGUCAUAUCUACCCCUCUCCUUCUUUGCUCAAAAAAUUCUUGAUGUUGUUCCUGGGGAUGAUCUGCCUUGGUCCUGUUGAUGAUUUAUUUUUUGGCCUAAGAAAAUUAUGUAAUCCAUCUUUCCUUUCCAGAUACUUGACUUUCUUGCCUCUGUUGCAGUUGAAAGAAGUGUCCGUGUGACUAGUUUGGGCCAAAAAUAGAUAGAGGAAGUAUGCUGAGGCUCUUCUGGUAAGGAUUUUGUUUCUCUGAUGAAAAGAAAGAUGUGGCUGGUGCCACUCUUUCCCAUUCAUCCAACCUUGGAUGCGGAAUGAUACGUGGAGAUGUGGUCACAGGCCCAGACAAGCAGAUGAAGGACUGGUGUAAUGACAAUGGCAGAAUCAAUCCAAAACUACACACAGGUCAUCCUUUAGGAAUCACUAAAAUGCACAGUGAAAAAACAAAAGACUCAUGGAAAAAGGAACCAGUGUUUACUGUGUUUGCCACUGGCCUGGCUCUACACCACAUGUCUUCACGUGUAAUCCUCACAAAUCUCACAAGAGAAUUUCAGUAUUUGCCCAGCUAUCCAGAAGCCCAGACACUGAGCAGUGUGAGUUUCUCUUCAUUUACCCUCCAGCUACAACAUCGCUGCCUUUCAAGUCACAUCUCCUGAAUGUUUGCCAGGACUUCCAAGUUUGAAAUGUUCCUGGUUGAUAGUGACUAUCUGGAUUGUAGCAGUAAAGUCACCGUGGACCAGAAAACCCUGCUGUGUUCUAUAUUUAGCAUGCGGUGCUCAUUCUGAUUUUUACACGUUUGAGGUAGAGGCGGGUGAUGCCUGCAUGUGCAAGGAGGAAGUAGAAGAGACACAUCACAAAGGGCUUUGCUAAAAUCUUCCAAGAAAGGUGAGGAUUUUCCAUUCAGUAUUUUGAAUUUGUUUACUUGAAAUAUUUUACCGGAGUUGCUAUAACUCUAAGCUGCUUUGGCAAAUCACACCAUGAAGACAAAUGUCGCAUACAACAGGUCCUUUCUAGGAAACAGCAAGAAAAGUGAAUGGCUACUCCCUAGUUCCAAUGAUUGGGCAAAUUCAACCUUCAGCCAUUAAAUAAGUUCCAAAAUGGAUUUCACAGAUGCUCAGGGUGGGGUUGAUACUGGGUUAGUUUUGAUAGAGAAUCUCUUCCACGGCCUUGUAUAAAGCAAAUGCCACGAGUAAAAUUAUGCUAAGGGUCCCAGGCCACUAACUCCUCCAGGACACCAUCAUAUCUGUACACUUAGAUGACCACUGUGUGUGUGUGUGUGUGUGUGUGUGUGUGUGUGUGUGUGUGUGUGUGUGUGGAGGGUUACAGUUUCCUACCCUGAUGAAGUGGUGUGCCUUAGUAAUACAUGGGGAACGCUGCUUAUAAAAUUGGCCAUGUCCAGUUCUAUCCUACGCCACACUAUCAUGCUCAGUAAAGAGAAGAUCUUGCUGUCAUCGAGUUGCCCGACUUGAGCCAGGUGCCCAGUGUAAUCCACUAUCAGAAGCCAUUCAGAAGCGCUGUUGCCCAAGAAGUGGCUGUGUAGGUCUUUACCCAGUGACUAUCUUGCAUGCGGUGAAGAGAAAGCCUAUUGUCAUAACAAUGUAACCACUCUCCCCCCCCCCCCCGCCCCCCGCUGCCCCAGGCCUCCCUACACACAAAUGAAAUUAGCGCUAAAACGUCUGGGCGCCGGGGUGGCUCAGUCGUUAAGCAUCUGCCUUCAGCUCAGGUCAUGAUCCCAGGGUCCUGGGAUC
This is a long non-coding RNA of Zalophus californianus (California sea lion), 2159 nucleotides long. RefSeq lists it as uncharacterized. Lineage: Eukaryota; Metazoa; Chordata; Mammalia; Carnivora; Otariidae. The record is from RefSeq and is a predicted model, not a curated record. The transcript has 3 exons.